CAUGCAAGUCGAGGGGCAGCAUCAUCAAAGCUUGCUUUGAUGGAUGGCGACCGGCGCACGGGUGAGUAACACGUAUCCAACCUGCCGACAACACUGGGAUAGCCUUUCGAAAGAAAGAUUAAUACCGGAUGGCAUAAUUAUUCCGCAUGGGAUAAUUAUUAAAGAAUUUCGGUUGUCGAUGGGGAUGCGUUCCAUUAGGCAGUUGGCGGGGUAACGGCCCACCAAACCUACGAUGGAUAGGGGUUCUGGAAGGAAGGUCCCCCACAUUGGGACUGAGACACGGUCCAAACUCCUACGGGAGGCAGCAGUGAGGAAUAUUGGUCAAUGGACGAGAGUCUGAACCAGCCAAGUAGCGUGAAGGAUGACUGCCCUAUGGGUUGUAAACUUCUUUUAUACGGGAAUAAAGUUAGCCACGUGUGGCUUUUUGUAUGUACCGUAUGAAUAAGGAUCGGCUAACUCCGUGCCAGCAGCCGCGGUAAUACGGAGGAUCCGAGCGUUAUCCGGAUUUAUUGGGUUUAAAGGGAGCGUA
Molecule: ribosomal RNA, 529 nt
Filed under: uncultured bacterium
Lineage: Bacteria
Description: bacterial SSU rRNA
Rfam family: Bacterial small subunit ribosomal RNA
Source: RNAcentral